This 434-nucleotide ribosomal RNA is filed under the name uncultured bacterium. RNAcentral's name for it is "partial 16S ribosomal RNA". It matches the Rfam family "Bacterial small subunit ribosomal RNA", at positions 29 to 507 of the family's 1533-position model. The record is from RNAcentral.
AGCGAACGCUGGCGGCAGGCCUAACACAUGCAAGUCGAACGAACCUUUCGGGGUUAGUGGCGGACGGGUGAGUAACACGUGGGAACGUUCCUUUAGGUUCGGAAUAACUCAGGGAAACUGGUGCUAAUACCGAAUGUGCCCUUCGGGGGAAAGAUUAAUCGCCUUUAGAGCGGCCCGCGUCUGAUUAGCUAGUUGGUUGAGGUAAUGGCUCACCAAGGCGACGAUCAGUAGCUGGUCUGAGAGGAUGAUCAGCCACAUUGGGACUGAGACACGGCCCAAACUCCUACGGGAGGCAGCAGUGGGGAAUCUUGCGCAAUGGGCGAAAGCCUGACGCAGCCAUGCCGCGUGAAUGAUGAAGGUCUUAGGAUUGUAAAAUUCUUUCACCGGGGACGAUAAUGACGGUACCCGGAGAAGAAGCCCCGGCUAACUUCGUG